This 76-nucleotide non-coding RNA is filed under the name Alexandrium minutum. The record is from RNAcentral. Lineage: Eukaryota; Dinophyceae; Gonyaulacales; Pyrocystaceae.
UUUUUUUUUUUUUUUUUUUUUUUCUUUCUUCGCCCGCGUUGCUUCGCACCCGCUGCGACUUCAAAAAAGACUGUGA